GACGAACGCUGGCGGCGCGCUUAACACAUGCAAGUCGAACGGAAAGGCCUGCUUUCCCUUGUGGAUUGCGGGUACUCGAGUGGCGAACGGGUGAGUAACACGUGAGUGAUCUGCCCCCAACUUGGGUAUAAGCCUGGGAAACUGGGUCUAAUUCCCGAUAGGACUGCAGGGUGGUGCCUGUGGUGGAAAACGAUUUUCUAGUGGUUGGGGAUGAGCUCGCGGCCUAUCAGCUUGUUGGUGGGGUAAUGGCCUACCAAGGCGGCGACGGGUAGCCGGCCUGGGAGCGUGGACGGCGACAUUGGGACUGGGAUACGGCCCAGACUCCGACGGGAGGCAGGAGUGGGGCAUAUUGGACCAUGGGCGGAAGCCUGAUGCAGCGACGCCGCGUGGGGGAUGACGGCCUUCGGGUUGUAAACUCCUUUCGACCGCGAGGAAGCCACGUGGUUGGAAGGGUGGUGACGGUAGUGGUAGAAGAAGCACCGGCUAACUACGUG
This 494-nucleotide ribosomal RNA is filed under the name uncultured bacterium. RNAcentral's name for it is "partial 16S ribosomal RNA". It matches the Rfam family "Bacterial small subunit ribosomal RNA", at positions 28 to 507 of the family's 1533-position model. The record is from RNAcentral.